Molecule: ribosomal RNA, 1331 nt
Filed under: Thalassiosira punctigera
Lineage: Eukaryota; Bacillariophyta; Thalassiosirophyceae; Thalassiosirales; Thalassiosiraceae
Description: partial Bacterial large subunit ribosomal RNA
Rfam family: Bacterial large subunit ribosomal RNA
Source: RNAcentral
GUCACUAGUAAUAGACCCCGAACCGGGAUGAUCUAACCAUGGUCAGGUUGAAGCUCAGGUAAUACUGAGUGGAGGACCGAACCGACUGAUGUUGAAAAAUCAGCGGAUGAAUUGUGGUUAGGGGUGAAAUGCCAAUCGAAUUCGGAGCUAGCUGGUUCUCCCCGAAAUGCGUUUUGGCGCAGCGGUAAAUGUUAUAAUCUAGGGGUAAAGCACUGUUACGUAUGCGGGCUGGUAAUUCGGUACCAAAUCGUUGCAAACUAAGAAUACUAGAUGUAUAGUUUACCAGUAAGACUGUGGGGGAUAAGCUCCAUUGUCAAGAGGGAAACAGCCCAGAGCACCAGUUAAGGCCCUUAAAUAAUUACUAAGUGGUAAAGGAGGUGGGAGUGCAUAAACAAUCAGGAGGUUUGCUUAGAAGCAGCAAUCCUUUAAAGAGUGCGUAAUAGCUCACUGAUCGAGUAAACCUGCGCCGAAAAUGUAUGGGACUAAGUAAUUUGCCGAAACUGUGCGAUAUAUAUUUAUAUAUCGGUAGGGGAGCGUUCUGUUGUAGGUCGAAGUAUUAGCGUAAGCGGAUAUGGACGAAGCAGAAGUGAGAAUGUCGGCUUGAGUAACGAAAAUAUAGGUGAGAAUCCUAUACCCCGAAAACCCAAGGUUUCCUCCGGAAGGCUCGUCCGCGGAGGGUAAGUCAGGACCUAAGGCGAGGCUGAAAAGCGUAGUCGAUGGACAACGGGUUAAUAUUCCCGUACCAUUUUUUAUUGAUAUCGAGGGACGGAGAAGGCUAAGCUAGCCGGAUAUUGGUUUUACCGGUUUAAACGUUCGAGAUGUUGAGAAGCGGCGAAAACGCUUUGAGUUGAGACGUGAAUACGAGACGCUAAGGCGUCGAAGUAGUGUAUGUCAUACUUCCAAGAAAAGCUUGCACUGUCAUAAAUAAAAAAUGCCUGUACCAUAACCGACACAGGUGGGUAGGUAGAGUAUACUAAGGGGCGCGAGAUAACUCUCUCUAAGGAACUCGGCAAAAUAACUCCGUAACUUCGGGAGAAGGAGUGCCUUAUUCUUAAGGUUGCAAUAACAAGAUCCAAGCAACUGUUUAUCAAAAACACAGGUCUCCGCUAAGUCGUAAGACGAUGUAUGGGGGCUGACGCCUGCCCAGUGCCAGAAGGUUAAAGAAGUUGGUUAGCAAUUGCGAAGCUGGUAACUGAAGCCCUGGUGAACGGCGGCCGUAACAAUAACGGUCCUAAGGUAGCGAAAUUCCUUGUCGGGUAAGUUCCGACCUGCACGAAUGGCGUAACGACUUCCCCACUGUCUCCAACAUAGACUCAGCGAAAUUGAAUUCC